RNAcentral lists this ribosomal RNA (490 nucleotides) under uncultured bacterium. RNAcentral's name for it is "partial 16S ribosomal RNA". It matches the Rfam family "Bacterial small subunit ribosomal RNA", at positions 28 to 507 of the family's 1533-position model. The record is from RNAcentral.
GAUGAACGCUCGCUACAGGCUUAACACAUGCAAGUCGCGGGGCAGCAUGGGGGUUGCUUGCACUCCCCGAUGGCGACCGGCGCACGGGGGAGUAACGCGUAUCCAACCUGCCCUUCACCACGGGAUAACCCGGCGAAAGUCGGACUAAUACCGUAUGUUGUCCAUUGACGGCAUCCGAUUUGGACGAAAGGUUUGGCGGUGAAGGAUGGGGAUGCGUCCGAUUAGCUGGACGGCGGGGUGACGGCCCACCGUGGCGACGAUCGGUAGGGGUUCUGAGAGGAAGGUCCCCCACACUGGAACUGAGACACGGUCCAGACUCCUACGGGAGGCAGCAGUGAGGAAUAUUGGUCAAUGGGCGUAAGCCUGAACCAGCCAAGUAGCGUGCAGGAUGACGGCCCUAUGGGUUGUAAACUGCUUUUAUGCGGGGAUAAAGUGGCCCCCGUGUGGGUUUUUGCAGGUACCGCAUGAAUAAGGACCGGCUAAUUCCGUG